This 904-nucleotide long non-coding RNA is filed under the name Struthio camelus australis. Its description in RNAcentral is "lncRNA (ENSSCUG00000016682.1)". Lineage: Eukaryota; Metazoa; Chordata; Aves; Struthioniformes; Struthionidae. The record is from RNAcentral.
UGUGGAAAUAGGCAGUGGAGCUGAAGAGAGAGAUGCAAACUGGCAUCUCUAAGUGAGUUAACUAGUUUAUUAGACACCUGAGAAUCCACAAGGGCUCACACACAGUAAAAGAUGCUCUGUUAAUUCUGCUCUUCAUGGUCUGUUUGGGUUUGUCACUCAUAGCAGUCCUCAUACUCUGUUUCCAACAGCAGGCAUGCACCAGAUAAAGAAUUUUCACUGCAUCAUGGACUUUGGCAACUGCUACUCUAUCAACAGAAUACCUCACAAACACUAAGUAAGCUUUACAACAGUAAAACGAGAGAUGAGUGUUGUUACCUGCAUUUUAUGGAAAAGGAUCUACAUGCACAGGGCCACCAAUUUUGGAUGCCUCAAUAGCUAUUUGUCUAAAAUGGGACACACCUAGAUUUUUCCAAUGUCUCAAGCGCUGGCAACUCUCAAACGGAGCUGAAACAACUGAGAAACACUGAGAGUACCAUCCGUCCUUGGACUCUGUGAAGCAUGUCUUGUAGUACUGCUUUGUGCUCCUCUGUGUCGUGUGAGUGUGUUUAUUAUAGAAGACAUGCUAUUUUGUGCGACUUACCUCACUCCUUGUAAACCUACUUGACUUAAGAUGAUGCAGUGGACCCAGGUGAAGCUGGAAACUGAAGAAAUGGGAAUAUAUUACUACAUUUUCAACAGAGAGUGGAAACUGUGGAAAGGUAACUGCUUUCUCUGACAAAAGCGUUUCCAGUUAUGAUGAGAAACAGAUGAUACUAGUUAUAUGUACAGCAAGCGUGCGGUUUUCUGUGGGCCAUUGAUCAGUGGUCAUCAACGAAGUCAAGAUCUUCUUACUUUUCCCUCUUCAGAUUAUUUGUCAUUUCACCUUGCAGUUUUGUUCAACCCUUUGAUUUGGAAGAUAGUAUAG